UCUUACAGCACUAGAUUCGCAUUUGGAGGAGGAGGAGGAGGAGCGUCAUCGUCGUCAGUAGCGAGGAGAGAUUGGAGGCCUGUGCAAACUAGAAGAACAGCCACCACCGUCACCAUGACACUGGGAGGAAGCUUUGAUACCUUUCGGGACAAUGAUGGAGCACCGCCCACGCGUUUCCAGCGAAGUGGAUACCUCCUCGGCCAGCCCUUGAAGAGCCUGGAUCCCGGCUUGCACCUCGGCCCGGAACUUCCACGCCUCCACCAGCGGAAGGGUCCUUCGUUCCUCAAGCCUGGAAGAAUCGGAGUUAAGCGAGAGAGCAGCGAUCCGGAUGGAACUUACGAGACCACCAAGAAGGAGGUGACCAAGGCGGCGAAGCGGCUCAAGGACGACAAAGGUGGCGGCACGGGCAGGAUCGCCGUCUACUUCGUCUCCUGGUGGGGGCUCAACAUCAUCUUCAACGUUUACAACAAGAAGGUGCUCAACGUUUACCCGUUUCCGUGGCUCACCUCCGUCAUGGCGCUCUUCGCCGGGACCGUCAUCAUGCUCGGCUCGUGGAUGACGGGAUGCAUCCAAGCUCCCGACACGGACAUGCAGUUCUGGCAGAAUCUCUUCCCUGUAAGAACCAAAGAACUCAUCAGUCAGUCCACGAACUUGAAGUAACAAAACCAAAGAGAGCGUAGGAACUCACUCACCUUGAAAGCUUUCAGGUGGCAGUGGCGCAUUCCAUUGGACACGUCGCGGCGACCAUCAGCAUGGCGAGGAGUGCUGUGGCCUUCAC
RNAcentral lists this long non-coding RNA (778 nucleotides) under Selaginella moellendorffii. Its description in RNAcentral is "long non-coding RNA (SMOE_LNC000144)". The record is from RNAcentral. Lineage: Eukaryota; Viridiplantae; Streptophyta; Lycopodiopsida; Selaginellales; Selaginellaceae.